UUUUUUUUUUUUAUUUUCUUUAUCAGUUUUUCUUUUUUUAGUUAUGGGCUGGUUAGGCAUGAGAAGUAGGAGUUAAUAAUUUUUACUUUAACUAUUUAACUUUUUUUUUUCUUUUUCUAAACCCUAAUUCCCAUUUAAUUUUCCCUUUUUACUCUUCCAUCAGUCCCUCCCAACUUCUCCCUCACAGCACACAUCAAAAUUGUUCUCUUCUGUUGGAAUUCAUAUUCCAUUUUUGGUGCUUCUAUCCAGUGAGAGUGUGCUUUGUUCGUUUGCGGAGGGUUGUAUCGUUCGUUUGCGGAGGGUGUUUUGUGGCUGGAGACAGUGUCCACAAAUUCACUUUCAGCUAAAGUUUAUUCAGUGUCCACAAAUGUGUUAUAUGGACUAUAGGAAGAUGUUGUAUGGUGGUUAUAUAUAUGAGUGCACGUGUGUGAGAAACAAAUUAGAUAUUUUCUGGUGAAUCUAAUGUCAAAUAAUCCUUACAGAGAGAGAGCAUAAAGAUAUUGAAAAGACAUAAAUUUAUUGACUAAAGAAUAGAUUUCCAGGUUGGAUGAUGGCACACAAGAUUCCAUAUCUUAUUAACGGUCAUGCUUAAGAAGAUACAAAAUAAGACAUUGAUAUUAUCAAGAUCUGUAUUAUGAGUUUCAUGUAUGAUGUCUGCUAUGAUUUUCUUGAUGUUAUUAAAUUAGAAAAUAUAAUUGUCAGUAACAAUUGUAUCCAGUUCAGGAGAAAGUUGGAGUAGGAUUGAUUGGUCUGAAAAUGAAACAAACUUAUUUAAGAUAGGUUAUUUGAUUAAUCUUUUUAAGAACAAGGAUCCACUUAGAAAAGAUGAUAAAAAAUUGUGUAAUUAAAAUAGGUAGAGGGUGAGCAAAGAGAACAUUAGGAAACCUGUUUAAAGAAAUCUUGAUUUAAAUGGAUUUCAUGAAAUUUUGGUUUCUGAUGAAGUUCACUGGCAUUGAUGGAUCCAUUUAUUUAUCUAACACCACCUGGUGAGAUAAGGCUUGGUGUUAUUGUUUGUUUUAGAAUUAGCUAAUUACUGAACACUAUUCUUAACCCCCAUUUUAUUAGUCUGUAACUAAAAAUAUUUAAUUCACUGGUGCAGUGGUUUGACACAGACAAAUUACAAAGAAUUGAAACUCUUUGGAUAGAUCUUCUUUGAAAGUACUUAUAAGAGGGGGUAAAUAAGUUCAAAUUUCAUAAGUUAAAUAUUGUCUUAUGCAGAAUUUGAAAUAAACUUGUGAUGAAACUAAACGAGAGAAUUUCUAUAAUAACCUAAUUAUAAAUUAAUUUUAACUUAGAAAAAAAUCAAGUUAUAUUACUUUCUUAUUUUCUUCUCCUGUAAACAUGUAUUGAGAAGUUUAUUCAGACAUAACCUUAAUAUGUCUCUUUUAUUACCUUUCAUUGUUUACCAUUGACAGACUGCAUUGUUCAAUAAUUUCUUAUAUAUAUGAAUAAUUAAAAGUUUAGGUGUUACUUACCUUGAUAGCAUGACAUGUUCUCAAUAAAUGUAUGCAAUUACUUUCUUGUUCUUGGCUAGUAGUAGAUUAUAUCCGAAAUUAUCAAUGUGGUUUUCUAUUCUCUAAGAAAACAUUACUUGCAUAGAAUUUUGGGUUUCUAUAAGUUAACCUCAAAGAAUGAAAUGAAGAGUAAUUGCUUCAAGCAGUUCUCUUGUGGA
Long non-coding RNA from Vigna angularis (adzuki bean), 1672 nucleotides. RefSeq lists it as uncharacterized. NCBI's taxonomy places the organism in Eukaryota, Viridiplantae, Streptophyta, Magnoliopsida, Fabales, Fabaceae. The record is from RefSeq and is a predicted model, not a curated record. The transcript has 2 exons.